AUUGAACGCUGGCGGCAUGCCUUACACAUGCAAGUCGAACGGCAGCACGGGAGCAAUCCUGGUGGCGAGUGGCGAACGGGUGAGUAAUAUAUCGGAACGUGCCCAGUCGUGGGGGAUAACGUAGCGAAAGCUACGCUAAUACCGCAUGCGAUCUAUGGAUGAAAGCGGGGGAUCGCAAGACCUCGCGCGAUUGGAGCGGCCGAUAUCAGAUUAGGUAGUUGGUGAGGUAAAGGCUCACCAAGCCGACGAUCUGUAGCUGGUCUGAGAGGACGACCAGCCACACUGGGACUGAGACACGGCCCAGACUCCUACGGGAGGCAGCAGUGGGGAAUUUUUGGACAAUGGGCGCAAGCCUGAUCCAGCAAUGCCGCGUGCAGGAUGAAGGCCUUCGGG
Molecule: ribosomal RNA, 393 nt
Filed under: uncultured bacterium
Lineage: Bacteria
Description: bacterial SSU rRNA
Rfam family: Bacterial small subunit ribosomal RNA
Source: RNAcentral